UACGUAGGCGGUUUAUUAAGUCAGAUGUGAAAGCCCCGGGCUUAACCUGGGAACUGCAUUUGAUACUGGUAAACUAGAGUAUGAUAGAGGGGGGUAGAAUUCCUAGUGUAGCGGUGAAAUGCGUAGAUAUUAGGAGGAAUACCAGUGGCGAAGGCGGCCCCCUGGACCAAUACUGACGCUGAGGUACGAAAGCGUGGGUAGCGAACA
This 207-nucleotide ribosomal RNA is filed under the name uncultured bacterium. Its description in RNAcentral is "partial 16S ribosomal RNA". It matches the Rfam family "Bacterial small subunit ribosomal RNA", at positions 568 to 774 of the family's 1533-position model. The record is from RNAcentral.